GAUGAACGCUGGCGGCGUGCCUAACACAUGCAAGUCGAACGGACGGGCGAGAAGCUUGCUUCUCUGUCGUUAGCGGCGCACGGGAGUGAAACAUGUGGAUAACCUACCUAUCAGACUGGUAUAACUUCGGGAAACCGGAGCUUACACCGGAUAAUAUCCUGCUGCGCAUUGUUCAAUAGUAAAAGACGGCGUUGCUGUCACUACUAGAUGCAUCCGCGCUGCAUUAGCUAGUUGGUACGGUAACGGCUUAUCAAGGCGACGAUGCGUAGCCGACGGAAGAGGGUGAUCGGCCACACGGGAACGGAGACACGGUCCAGACUACUGCGGGAGGCAGCAGUAGGGAAUCGGCCGCAGUGGUCGAAAGCCUGGCGGAGCAACGCCGCGUGUGUGAUAAAGGUCUUCGGAUCGGAAAACUCUGUUAUUGGUGAAGAACAGAUUUGGAAGUAGCCGUGGACAGCUUGACGGUACCUAGUCAGAAAGCCCCGGCUAACUACGUG
This 497-nucleotide ribosomal RNA is filed under the name uncultured bacterium. RNAcentral describes it as "partial 16S ribosomal RNA". It matches the Rfam family "Bacterial small subunit ribosomal RNA", at positions 28 to 507 of the family's 1533-position model. The record is from RNAcentral.